Molecule: long non-coding RNA, 731 nt
Organism: Rhododendron vialii
Lineage: Eukaryota; Viridiplantae; Streptophyta; Magnoliopsida; Ericales; Ericaceae
Exons: 3
Source: RefSeq, a predicted model, not a curated record
CCGACCGAACCGAACCGAAACGGGCCGAACCGAAAUGGACCGAACCGAACCGAGCAUAGAUAAUUUAUAUAAUUAUAUAAUUUGCAUAAAUCUUAACCGUAAAUUUUUUUGGUCUUUUAAUCUCCACCGUACACAAACAAAACCCUACCUCAUCUCUAACUCUCCUCUGAGCCGUCCUCGGUCUCACUCUCACGGCCUCCCAUUCUCUCACCCUCUCUCAGUCUCUCUCACAGAUCGGCGAUCUUAGCCUCUCACUCUCUCUCUGGCGAUCAGCUUCUCAGCCUCUCACCAGUCACCGCGCCUCCCUCCCCUUCUUUGAAACCCUUCUCUCUCAGAGAUUGCGUAAGAAGUAAGAACUCUCUCUCUCUCUCUCUCUCUCUCUCAUAGAUCCACACCAAUCUCUCUCCUCCCUUGCAUAAUAAAAGAUGAAUUGAAGCCCUAAUGCUUGGACCGAGGAGUUCUACAAUGGGUCUUGUACGGGUGCUGUGUUGGAUGGAUGCUAGUGAAGCUGUUGGAGGCUUGAACUGCUAGUCUUGAACUACUUUUUUUUUAUGCUAUCACUUGCUUUUUUUUGGAUGCUAUCACUUAGCUGGAAUGCAGGUUUUCAAUUGAAAUGGAGAGAAUUGAUAGUGAAAAAUUUGGUAGUGAAAAAUUCCACAACAGGUGUAUAUAUGUAUUGGACCGGUGAAAAUUUGGUAGAGAAUUGAUAGUGAAAAUUUGGUUGUGAUGUA